CUUCAAUGAGCUCCUGCUCAGCUACUUCCACCUGCUGCCCACCAGGGUCCUCAGCAACGGGCUCUUCUACUCGCCACAAUACAAACAAGCACAGUGUAUAUAGAGAAAUUAACAUUACACCAAACAUAUAAAUAAAAUACACAGUAAUAAUCUACAUAUUAAAAUAAAAUCCUAGGAACAGGAAUCAUAAUUUUUGGAGUUAUAGAAUUUAAGUUAUGGAUUUUCAAAGGUUUUAUGUGUUUAAAAUGGGAUUAAGUGAGGAAUUGAUUUUCUUACUGUUUUCAUGUCAAAACAGAGACUCUAGAUGGUAGAGAAUAAUAAUACAAAAUUUUUGGAACUGGAAUGGAGUAAUUUGGAUUUCAUACGCAUUUUCUAUGAAUUAUUGAAGUUCUAGCAAUUGUUUUUCUCAUAAAAAAUCAUUUUCAGAUUUUAUUUAUCCAUUUAUUAUGAACUCUGGCCUGGGCGCACUAAAUCUGAGAAAGGCAGGGGCCUCGGGUUAAAAUUCCUAAGGCACAGGGAACAAUUUCUGUGGACCGUGGGUUAUUUAAGUAUGAAUCCGGGGACUCUUUAGCAAUUUGCGCAACCGAAGGGGUAUCGCAAGACUCUAGCCGCCAGAUCACGAUUGAACGGCUCGGAUUAUAUCGUCAUUAUAAUGAAGCGGUAUGCGAUCGCGGCCCUUGGAUCUAAAUCCAACAGUACGGAUAUAAUGAAGCCGAGAUCCCGCCACAACCCUCGGAUUCCGAUCUAACGACCCAGGGAAGAUCUAGCGAAGGUGGGGUACGUGUGCGCAAAUCGGGGCGUCCAUCCACCGAUCGACGGUGCACCCAAGUCAACAUGCUCCAUCGUCAAAACAGAGCGGCACCCACAUCCGACUGCGGCGGAGGCCAUCUCCGGCCAGUCGCCCAAGGGGUCCCGGUGCCCCAAACCCAAAUUGGUCAAGCCCAAAUCGAAGUCAUGUCUGGUAGGAAUUAAAGGAUGCAGUGUCGUACCAAUGGCGAGGAAUCAGAUGGGCCAAAUUCGAUGAAGAGCGGCGCCAGGCGACUGCAAUCGACGGCGAGCAAUACCCCGGUCACCACUCGCAGAUUUCCACCCGGCACGGCCACAGGCACGUUGGAGGCGACCCGGAUAUGCUUCACGGAUAGGCACCAAGAGUGCCCCGUCAACGAAUUCCGCCACCAUGUGCGGCGGCACUAUGUUACACGCCGAAGUCGCACGGCGAAAUUGGAGUGCUACAGUGAACGGCACGGGUCGUGGGUGGUGGAGAGGGGAACGGAGGGGAAG
RNAcentral lists this long non-coding RNA (1281 nucleotides) under Zea mays. Its description in RNAcentral is "long non-coding RNA (ZMAY_LNC004670)". Lineage: Eukaryota; Viridiplantae; Streptophyta; Magnoliopsida; Poales; Poaceae. The record is from RNAcentral.